This 253-nucleotide ribosomal RNA is filed under the name uncultured bacterium. Its description in RNAcentral is "partial 16S ribosomal RNA". It matches the Rfam family "Bacterial small subunit ribosomal RNA", at positions 524 to 776 of the family's 1533-position model. The record is from RNAcentral.
UACAGAGGGGGCAAGCGUUGUUCGGAAUUACUGGGCGUAAAGGGCGCGUAGGCGGCCGCCUAAGUCAGACGUGAAAUCCCUCGGCUCAACCGGGGAACUGCGUCUGAUACUGGGUGGCUUGAAUCCGGGAGAGGGAUGCGGAAUUCCAGGUGUAGCGGUGAAAUGCGUAGAUAUCGGGAGGAACACCAGUGGCGAAGGCGAUCUUCUGGACGGAUACUGACGUUGAGGCGCGAAAGCUAGGGGAGCAAACAGG